AGUGAACGCUGGCGGUAGGCCUAACACAUGCAAGUCGAACGGCAGCACAGUAAGAGCUUGCUCUUACGGGUGGCGAGUGGCGGACGGGUGAGGAAUACAUCGGAAUCUACUUUUUCGUGGGGGAUAACGUAGGGAAACUUACGCUAAUACCGCAUACGACCUACGGGUGAAAGCAGGGGAUCUUCGGACCUUGCGCGAUUGAAUGAGCCGAUGUCGGAUUAGCUAGUUGGCGGGGUAAAGGCCCACCAAGGCGACGAUCCGUAGCUGGUCUGAGAGGAUGGUCAGCCACACUGGAACGGGAACACGGUCCAUGCUCCUACGGGAGGGAGCAGUGGGGAAUAGUGGGCAAUGGGCGCAAACCUGAUCCAACCAUACCGCGUGGGUGGAGGAGGCCUUCGGGUUGGAAAGCCCUUUUGUUGGGAAAGAAAAGCAGCAGGUUAAUACCCCGCUGUUCUGACGGUACCCAAAGAAUAAGCACCGGCUAACUUCGUG
Molecule: ribosomal RNA, 492 nt
Filed under: uncultured bacterium
Lineage: Bacteria
Description: partial 16S ribosomal RNA
Rfam family: Bacterial small subunit ribosomal RNA
Source: RNAcentral